ACCACUCCCUCUGCAAAAUGCCAGACGCCAUCCUGACUUGUUUACAGACUCUAACAUCCGAGGCUGCUAGACAGCCAGGUGCCAGCUGUGCCCACUGUGGCCUUGGGAUGCUGGGAGGGAAUAGACGGGAGGAGGCAGGCGGGGCCGGAGGCUGGGAAAUGAGAGGCCGGCAGAGGCUGCUUGUCCAGGGCUGCGCCACCUGGCAGGGUGGUGGCCUUGGGGCCGUGGUGCUCGGGGAGACCAGCUUGGUGGACAUCUGACUGCUGUCUCCCCCAUUUUCAUGUAAAAGGGGGGACGUGCCUGGGGCUGGGGCCACCAUCUGUCCUGGGAGCCCCAUUGUGCUGAGACCACUGCAGGGCAGAGGGGCCAGCUGUGGGCAGAGGUCGUGGGGAAGGACACGGCCAACAGAAGGAAGCUUUCAGGGCUGGUGGCGCAGAGGGUGGGCUUCGCCGGUGGGGCUGGGGGGCACCAGCUCAGCUCAGGGCCCCCCUCUCCCGGCCCCCUGCUGGAACCCCAGGGCAGGAGGACAGGAGCCUUUCCCUGUUGGUCACGCCUGCUCCUUGACGCUUCAGAAGAUGGCUGGCCACGUUCCUGUCAAGCUGGCUGAGACUCUGUCCCUUCUGGGGCCUGUGUAAGUCCCAGAAACCUUAGGGACACUGAGUUAAGUCUCAGGGAGUGGCCGGCGUCCCCAGUGGGUGGGCUCUGAGCAGAGAGGGCACAAGGCCAGCGCUGGCCUCGGGCCUUUCUGUCUGGCUCCCAUGGGGCCUUUUAAGUGGGUUUUGCCAGUUUUAAAAACCAGGAGAUUCAUGUAAAAAUGCUGCCCUCUUCCAAAAGCCAAGGCUGCGGGCCCACGGGCCCCUGUGCCUCACAGCUGGCCAAGCUGAGCCGCGGGACGUGCCCUCGGGGUGCCAUAGCCCCCCAUCCCGUGCACCCCGGGGCCCCGCCACACUCACAUGCAACCCAGCCAGGGCUGCUGGGACGGCAGGGAGCUGUGGGGUGACCCCGUGUCCCCAAGUGCACAGAGGGAGCAGAGGACAGCUGGCCAAGGACCAAGGAGCAUCUCCAUGACGACCACAUGACUGAUCGGCCAGUCCAGGCGGGAGGACAGAUGCUGACCACCUGCUAGCUUGGAGGGAGGGGGCCCGAGGACCCUGUGGUCCCUGCUGUAAGCUUCAGAAGAGGGGAGGGGUCAGCCCCAAAGUGUCGGAGGUCAAAUUCCCAGCGUCCCUGCCGAGCAGGACAGAAUAGGGACAAGAGGAGCGUCUAGGGCUCCUCACCUUGAGCCACACUGGGGUCUGCUACCUUCCGCUUUGGGGACAAUCACAGGGCACAGCAGGCUCGGGACAGCCCCCAAGGCCCCUGCUGGGGGCGAUACAAACCCGGCUUCUGGACCCCACCCAGGCCUGGCCAUCUGGCUCUGAUGCCAAGAUGGGGUUGGGCUGGAGACAGCUCAGGUGGCCUUCUCCCACACUGUGUGGAGGACUGAGGAGGGCCGGGUCCUCUCUAAAUAGGGCCUGUCCCCACGGCUGCUGUCCCCACCGCCCCACGAAAUCCCUGUGGGGAGAGGAGGGGCCGCUCCAGGCUCCGCCCCCUCAGGGACGUGGAUCACCGGUGCCCGGCUGGGUGGUGGUGCCCGGCUGGGUGGUGGUGCCCGGCUGGGUGGUGGUGCCCGGCUGGGUGGCGGCGCCCGGAGUCCCUGGACACAGGAGCAUGGCUCUCCACUGAGGAGGGCUCAGCUGCCGGGGUGGACGCUGGCUGCAGCUGCUCAGGGUCACGGCCACUGUCACGGGGGCUGGAGGAGGAGGUGCUCAGGGCUUUGCCGACAGCCCAGGGUCUGAAUCCCGCCUCGGCCGGCCCUCGGUGAGGUCACCGUGAUGUCAACAUCCCCUGCGCUGCUGGGAAAUGACAAUGACAAGAUGACGUGGCCUGGCCACACACGGCACUUUGUGAAGGUCAGCAACGCCCGACCCUCAGAGAAAGUGGGAACAGAGGCUCCAGUAAGAAGAUGCUACUGUCCGGCCAAGUGCGUCCACAUCAGACCUCUGAGCUGACCACAGCAGGUCAGGCCUCGGUCCUCACAUGAAGAUCUGGGACAUGGAGGUCAUGUUUGGGCGUGGCCAAGAUCCCUGGAGCCAAGUCCUGCUGCCCCUCCAAACAGGGCCCACGACACCCACUUUGCCACAGUCCCCACUCCUCUAUAUUGUCCCACACCCGAGAGGAGACAAGAGGGCGAGUGUCCACACAGAGGUGCGCCAGUGUGGACAGACCCCAGCUCCAGCAGGCACAAUGGCAGACGGGACAGGGCCAGCCUCUCUACACCACCAGCCAAGGAGGACACCCGCAUGGUGACGUAGGCAUGAGAAGAAAAUAACAAUGCGAUGUCCAAGAGCUCUGUCCUGACGAGUGACCCUGAGCCCUCAGGGACCCAGCUCCCCGCUAAGCAGGACACUGCAGAGAGUCUCGAGCUUGCUGCCACCAGAGCCCCUGGGCUGCGCUGCACGGACAUCAACAGGUGGAGGGGACCCGGCCUCUGAGCCUCCAGGAGGACCACGGAGGCUGGUUGGAGGCUGCCUGGCAGCAGCCACAGAGCCCAGCUGGGACAGGAGCCUUUGGGGCCAAGGCUGCCUCAGGGGCACAGAUGUCAGCCCCACUUCCCUGGGGUCCUAGGGAAACUCCCCACCCCACCCUGGCCACCCAUGUGGCUUGCCCCUUCCUCUGGGGCUGUGGCCUUUGUGUGGCCCAAUCUGGGGCAAAGUCACCCGGGGCUUUGCCAGACUCCAGGAAGGGACAGUUGACUACCCCAGGCUGCUGAGCUGGUGGGGGGCUGGAGCUGGGGGCCCCACCCUCGGGCGCCACUCCCCUGGAUCAUCAGAAUGCCACUCUGGUACCCCACGACCCAGGCCCUCCCUGGGGCCUUUCCUCACCAAAGACUUAGUACCAGACUAAUGGAAGACAGGGCCACGUUAUGUCACCAUGGGUCACAAAGACACAGCUCUAAGCCUCCGUAUAUAUUUAAAAGUAGCGAAAUGAUACCCGAGCCUCACACAACAUCCUUGUCUCCCUGGUGUAAUAAACGUACACAAAAGUGAUUCAAAUAGAACUCUCCAG
Ictidomys tridecemlineatus (thirteen-lined ground squirrel) is the source of this 3108-nucleotide non-coding RNA. The record is from RefSeq and is a predicted model, not a curated record. Lineage: Eukaryota; Metazoa; Chordata; Mammalia; Rodentia; Sciuridae.